This 600-nucleotide ribosomal RNA is filed under the name uncultured bacterium. Its description in RNAcentral is "bacterial SSU rRNA". It matches the Rfam family "Bacterial small subunit ribosomal RNA", at positions 881 to 1482 of the family's 1533-position model. The record is from RNAcentral.
UACGGUCGCAAGAUUAAAACUCAAAGGAAUUGACGGGGGCCCGCACAAGCGGCGGAGCAUGCGGAUUAAUUCGAUGCAACGCGAAGAACCUUACCAAGACUUGACAUAUAGUAGAAAAGCGUAGAAAUACGCUCCCCGCAAGGCUGCUAUACAGGUGGUGCAUGGUUGUCGUCAGCUCGUGUCGUGAGAUGUUGGGUUAAGUCCCGCAACGAGCGCAACCCUCGUCUUAUGUUGCCAGCACGUAAUGGUGGGAACUCAUGGGAGACUGCCGGGGUCAACUCGGAGGAAGGUGGGGAUGACGUCAAAUCAUCAUGCCCCUUAUGUCUUGGGCUUCACGCAUGCUACAAUGGCCGAUACAAAGGGCUGCGAUACCGCAAGGUGGAGCGAAUCCCAUAAAGUCGGUCUCAGUUCGGAUUGGGGUCUGCAACUCGACCCCAUGAAGUCGGAGUCGCUAGUAAUCGUAGAUCAGCAACGCUACGGUGAAUACGUUCCCGGGCCUUGUACACACCGCCCGUCAAGUCACGAAAGUCGGUAACACCCGAAGCCGGUGGCCUAACCGUAAGGAAGGAGCCGUCGAAGGUGGGAUCGGUGAUUGGGACU